This 435-nucleotide ribosomal RNA is filed under the name Placida kevinleei. RNAcentral's name for it is "partial 16S ribosomal RNA". It matches the Rfam family "Bacterial large subunit ribosomal RNA", at positions 1817 to 2596 of the family's 2925-position model. Lineage: Eukaryota; Metazoa; Mollusca; Gastropoda; Limapontiidae. The record is from RNAcentral.
AGCCUUAGGUAAAGAUCUAAGGUAAAGCCUGCCCAGUGCAAUUUGUGAACGGCCGCAGUACCCUGACUGUGCUAAGGUAGCAUAAUAAUUUGGCUUUUAAAUGGAGUCGGGAAUGAAUGGAUUAAUAGGGCUAAGCUGUCUCCCCUAUACUUAUUUUAAUUUACUUAUUAGGUGAAAAUGCCUAUAUUAAGAAAAAAGACGAGAAGACCCUAGGAGUUUUCACUAAACUUUAUAUUUUAUAGUGUUCGUUUUUGUUGGGGCGACAUGAGAGGAGAAAUAUAAACCUCUUUGACUUAUAUGCCGACUAAGUAUGUAUAAUUAAACUACCCUAGGGAUAACAGCGUAAUUCUUUUUGAGUUUGCGACCUCGAUGUUGGACUAGGAAUUGGGCAGGCAAGCCGCCUGUUUUCACUGUUCUGUUCGAACUUUUUCUCCU